This 497-nucleotide ribosomal RNA is filed under the name uncultured bacterium. RNAcentral's name for it is "partial 16S ribosomal RNA". It matches the Rfam family "Bacterial small subunit ribosomal RNA", at positions 28 to 507 of the family's 1533-position model. The record is from RNAcentral.
GAUGAACGCUGGCGGCGUGCCUAAUACAUGCAAGUCGAGCGAACGGACGAGAAGCUUGCUUCUCUGAUGUUAGCGGCGGACGGGUGAGUAACACGUGGAUAACCUACCUAUAAGACUGGGAUAACUUCGGGAAACCGGAGCUAAUACCGGAGAAUAUUUUGAACCGCAUGGUUCAAAAGUGAAAGACGGUCUGGGUGUCACUUAUAGAUGGAUCCGGGCUGCAUUAGCUAGUUGGUAAGGUAACGGCUUACCAAGGCAACGAUGCAUAGCCGACCUGAGAGGGUGAUCGGCCACACUGGAACUGAGACACGGUCCAGACUCCUACGGGAGGCAGCAGUAGGGAAUCUUCCGCAAUGGGCGCAAGCCUGACGGAGCCACGCCGCGUGAGUGAUGAAGGUCUUCGGAUCGUAAAACUCUGUUAUUAGGGAAGAACAUAUGUGUAAGUAACUGUGCACAUCUUGACGGUACCUAAUCAGAAAGCCACGGCUAACUACGUG